Molecule: ribosomal RNA, 613 nt
Filed under: Ramaria aurantiisiccescens
Lineage: Eukaryota; Fungi; Basidiomycota; Agaricomycetes; Gomphales; Gomphaceae
Description: eukaryotic LSU rRNA
Rfam family: Eukaryotic large subunit ribosomal RNA
Source: RNAcentral
CUAACAAGGAUUCCCCUAGUAACGGCGAGUGAAGCGGGAAGAGCUCAAAUUUGUAAUCUGGCGGCCCUUGGUCGUCCGAGUUGUAGUCUGGAGAAGCGUUUUCCGUGCCGGACCGUGUACAAGUCCCUUGGAACAGGGCGUCACAGAGGGUGAGAAUCCCGUCUUUGACACGGACUGCCGGUGCYUUGCGAUGCGCUCUCGAAGAGUCGAGUUGUUUGGGAAUGCAGCUCAAAACGGGUGGUAAAUUCCAUCUAAAGCUAAAUAUAGGCGAAAGACCGAUAGCGAACAAGUACCGUGAGGGAAAGAUGAAAAGCACUUUGGAAAGAGAGUUAAACAGUACGUGAAAUUGUUGAAAGGGAAACGCUUGAAGUCAGUCGCGUCUCCCGGGAUUCAGCCUCGCUUUUGCUUGGCGUACUUCCCGGGGCGACGGGCCAGCAUCGAUUUCGAUCGUCGGAGAAGGGCCUUGGGAACGUGGCACCUUCGGGUGUGUUAUAGCCCGGGGUCGCAUGCGACGAUUGGGAUCGAGGAUCGCAGCACGCCUUUGAUUGGCCGGGGUUCGCCCACGUAACGUGCUUAGGAUGCUGGCGUAAUGGCUUUAAGCGACCCGUCUUGA